Molecule: non-coding RNA, 275 nt
Organism: Callithrix jacchus (white-tufted-ear marmoset)
Lineage: Eukaryota; Metazoa; Chordata; Mammalia; Primates; Cebidae
Source: Rfam
UGGUGCCCAACGUAAGAGCUUGAGUACGAGGGACACAGUGAGGGAUGCCGUCAAGGUCAGCCGGCACAGAAGGAUUAAGAAACCCAGAGGAAAGAGCGUCGUGGGAACCUGCCAGGGACUCGCGCUCCGGUAAGGGGACUGCGAAUAUGGAACAGGAAAUCAGCCAGCAUUAGUUGUUCAUAGAGACUUUAAGUAAGGCUUUAAAGGCACAGGGAGUAAAGGUGAAAAUAAAACGAUUGUGUUAUAUUUUCACUAUAUUCAGGAUGUCUGCCCUU